GCCCAGUAACGACCGUGAAGCGGCAACAGCUCAAAUUUGAAAUUUGGCCCCAGGCCCGAGUUGUAAUUUGCAGAGGAUGCUUUUGGCGCGGUGCCUUCCGAGUUCCCUGGAACGGGACGCCAUAGAGGGUGAGAGCCCCGUACGGUUGGACACCAAGCCUUUGUAAAGCUCCUUCGACGAGUCGAGUAGUUUGGGAAUGCUGCUCUAAAUGGGAGGUAUAUUUCUUCUAAAGCUAAAUAUAGGCCAGAGACCGAUAGCGCACAAGUAGAGUGAUCGAAAGAUGAAAAGCACUUUGAAAAGAGGGUUAAACAGCACGUGAAAUUGUUGAAAGGGAAGCGCUUGUGACCAGACUUGCGUCCGGUGAAUCACCCAGCUCUCGCGGCUGGGGCACUUUGCCGGCACAGGCCAGCAUCAGCUCGCUGUCGGGGACAAAAGCUUCGGGAACGUAGCUCUCUUCGGGGAGUGUUAUAGCCCGUUGCAUAAUACCCUUCGGUGGGCUGAG
This 502-nucleotide ribosomal RNA is filed under the name Colletotrichum truncatum. RNAcentral's name for it is "eukaryotic LSU rRNA". It matches the Rfam family "Eukaryotic large subunit ribosomal RNA", at positions 77 to 592 of the family's 3401-position model. The record is from RNAcentral. Lineage: Eukaryota; Fungi; Ascomycota; Sordariomycetes; Glomerellales; Glomerellaceae.